Populus trichocarpa (black cottonwood) is the source of this 538-nucleotide long non-coding RNA. RefSeq lists it as uncharacterized. The transcript is spliced from 2 exons. NCBI's taxonomy places the organism in Eukaryota, Viridiplantae, Streptophyta, Magnoliopsida, Malpighiales, Salicaceae. The record is from RefSeq and is a predicted model, not a curated record.
UAUAAAAGCCAGACCUUUCGCAUUAUUGUCACCAAAUCCAUAUUCAGAAAGGAGCAACACUUAUAUUGAUUGUUGGUGUUUAAUGGCAUCGUCUAAAGCAUUGCUGGUUUUGGGGGUUUUCAUGCUCUUAAUGACCACAUUUGUAGCAGGAGAUGUGGUCAAUACCAUUAGAGACAAGCCACCAUACAUAAGUUACGAAGGUCUUGGAUGUGACCCAAAGAAGAAUCCCCGAUGCCGCCUCAACCCAGACCCAGCCCCUUUAGGAAGGGGUUGCAAAGCCGAACAUCGAUGUAGGGAAGGCUAGCGAGGGGAGCUAGUGAAUAUUCUACACCUUUGGAAGUAGGCCAACAUCGUUGAAUAAGUUUAUUCUUAUGGUAGCAAUACGAUCAUCAAUGAAUGAUUUCUUUUGCUCAAGAUGAUUAUUUCUUCUCCUUUCAAUUUCAUUUCAUGAAUUUUUUGACAUUAUAUAUUAUGUUGUAAUAAAUAUUACAUUAACAAAUAAUCUAAAAUACGUGGGAAAAACAUUGUGCAUGUCUAA